GACGAACGCUGGCGGCGUGCUUAACACAUGCAAGUCGAACGGUGAAGCGCCUUCCUUUUUGGUGGGUGUGGAUGAGUGGCGAACGGGUGAGUAACACGUGAGUAACCUGCCCCCUUCUUCUGGAUAACCGCAUGAAAGUGUGGCUAAUACGGGAUAUUCUGGGUCUGUCGCAUGAUGGGUCUGGGAAAGAUAUUGUUUCGGUGGGGGAUGGGCUCGCGGCCUAUCAGCUUGUUGGUGGGGUGAUGGCCUACCAAGGCGGUGACGGGUAGCCGGCCUGAGAGGGUGGACGGUCACACUGGGACUGAGACACGGCCCAGACUCCUACGGGAGGCAGCAGUGGGGAAUAUUGCACAAUGGGCGCAAGCCUGAUGCAGCGACGCCGCGUGAGGGAUGGAGGCCUGCGGGUUGUGAACCUCUUUCGCCAGUGAAGCAGGCCUGCCUCGUUUGUGGGUGGGUUGACGGUAGCUGGAUAGGAAGCGCCGGCUAACUACGUG
This 494-nucleotide ribosomal RNA is filed under the name uncultured bacterium. RNAcentral's name for it is "partial 16S ribosomal RNA". It matches the Rfam family "Bacterial small subunit ribosomal RNA", at positions 28 to 507 of the family's 1533-position model. The record is from RNAcentral.